This 497-nucleotide ribosomal RNA is filed under the name uncultured bacterium. RNAcentral's name for it is "partial 16S ribosomal RNA". It matches the Rfam family "Bacterial small subunit ribosomal RNA", at positions 28 to 507 of the family's 1533-position model. The record is from RNAcentral.
GACGAACGCUGGCGGCGUGCCUAAUACAUGCAAGUAGAACGCUGAAGAGAGGAGCUUACUCUUCUUGGAUGAGUUGCGAACGGGUGAGUAACGCGUAGGUAACCUACCUUUUAGCGUGGGAUAACUACUGGAAACGAUAGCUAAUACCGCAUAACAUUUUAUGCCACAUGUCUUUUAUUUGAAAGGGGCUAUUGCUCUACUACAUGAUGGACCUGCGUUGUAUUAGGUAGUAGGUUAGGUAAUGGCUCACCCAAGCGAAGGUACAUAGCCGGACUGGGGGGGGGGUCGGCCAAAAUGGGACCGAGACACGGGCCAGAAUCCUAAGGGGAGGAGCAGGAAGGGAAUUUCGGGAAUGGGGCGAACGCUGACCGAGCAAAGGCGGGUGAGUGGAGGAGGGUUUCGGAACGUAAAACUCUGUUGAAAGGGGAAGACGAGUGGGGGAGUGAAAAGUGCACACUGUGACGGUAGCUAAUCAGAAAGGGACGGCUAACUACGUG